CCUGACACACACACACACACACACACACACACACACACACACACACACACACACACACACACACACACACACACACACACACACACACACACACACACACACACACACACACACACGUUAACGUGUGGCAUGAAGACAGAAUAAGUUUGUGUUUUCCUUUCCGUGUGGUUUUGUACUUUUCUCUGCGGAGCUGCAACAGCAGGCAGGACAAGGCCUCGGGAUGUUCUGCAAACACAACCACACAAACAAAACAGUCAGAAAAACACACACAAGCCGUUUGAUUUCCUGUGUGUGUGUGUGUGUGUGUGUGUGUGUGUGUGUGUGUGUGUACCUUUGUAUUUGAGGUGUUGCAGGAUGGGGAUGAUGGUUUCCAGAGGGAUGCUGUGAGCCAGAAACAACUGCCAGGUGCUGUACUGCUCAAACGUCUCCCAGUCCAGAGACUGGACUGUUCACACGAGGAGGAGGAGGAAGAGGAAGAGGAAGAAGACAGAUCUUUGUACGUUGAAGUGGAGUUACCUGAGUGGAGUCGAUGACGGCGACGAUCAUGUUGAGCAGCUCCCCACUUCUCAACGUCUCAUCUGGAAACUGAAGCAGGCCAUGAGAGGUGAGUGUGUGUGUGUGUGUGUGUGUGUGUGUGUGUGUGUGUGUGUGUGUGUGUGUGUGUGUGUGUGUGUGUGUGUGUGUGUGUGUGUGUACCUCAGAGUAUAUGGAGGGGGUGAGGUAGCAGAGCAGGCGGAUGUCGUCCUCCUGACACGCCUUCAUGUCCAUCAUCAGACACGUGUGUAGGUCGCCAAGAGCUGUCGCCUGAGCAAACGACUCGUACAGCAUCAUCUUCCCGUUUGCCGCUUUACUGUUGACACAAACACAAAUGGGCGGUUUAGUGCCGUUUGACAUCACGUGUGACAGCACGUGUGACACGGCGCGGGUCGUCUCACCUGGCUUUGAGGUAGUACAGCAGGUGGUAACCAAUCUUGGGUUGUUUCUGGUAAAGUUCCGCCAACAUCUCGAGCAGAACCGAGAAGCCGCUGUUGUCUUCCUGCAUCGUGACCAGGUUCCUGAAGAUCAGACAGACGGGUUUACACACCGACUCCUCCAGGGACCUGAGACAGGUGAUCAGAGAGAGACAGACAGGUGAUCAGAGAGAGACAGAGUAAUGUAUUUAACUCUCAGAAAGACGUGUCUUUAUCAAACAGACAGAAUGUCUCCACAGAAACGCUCAGUACAUUUAGAACAAAGGGCCGACCUUUAACCACACUCAACAUUCUGAGUCAGUUCACAAAUAUUAACACUUUGAUCAGAUUAUGUGGGUUGUUAUAAAAUAAAGGUCUUACUCCUCAGUGAUCUCCUCUGGCAGAACGUCUCCUCUGAAAUGAUCUCUGAAAAGUUCAGCCAGACAUGAAGCCAUCGCCGACAUCUGCUCUGUGUCAAAGUCCUCCUGGAACCAAGAGAACAUCAGAGAACAUCAGAACAUUGGACGGAAGAGAACAUCAGAGAACACAUGGAAUACCUUAUGAGAGCGUCAUGCUUCUAUCUAGUCUGUAAUUUCAGUGUGAGAUGAAUAAAUUAGAGAACUCACCUCCAGGAUCAGAUCCACUAUCUCCUGCAUCACCUCACACUGAGUCUCUGCGUCACUGAGGACACACGUCACUUUUAUUAUCAUCAUCAUAACAUCAGAUAUGAACUGAUCAAUGAUCAAUAGAUCCACAGACUGUGACCUCUCACCUGGUCUUCUGCAGCUGCAGCACCUUUUCCUUCAUGGUGUCAUCUAACUGGUCCAACCAGGGUGUGAUGUCAGCAGGCUCUUCCAACACGGCCUCUUUGAUUGGAUGGAACCUGAACUCCCUUUUCUUUCCUACACAGCGAUUGGGCGACAGACGGAGUACUGAAUGAACAGGUGAACCACAGUUGAACUGGAUUAAACUCAUUCUCACUGGCUCCAUCCUCAUUAAACUGGUUUAUUCCACUUUCUUUAGGUUUUUUCCCAGUUCAAAGUCAUAAUUCAUCCAGUUUUAAAUAAUCCACAUCAAACUGGUUCACUUUGGUUUAAACUGUUGAAGAAUAAACUGGUUCACUCUGGUUUAGGCUGUUCCAGUUAAACUGGGUUUCUCCAAUCUAAACUAGAUUUCAAUUAUUUUUAAUUAUUAAAAAACGUUCCUAUUCUGGUUUCAACUGAUAUAAAACACAGUUUAAUCUGAUUUUUUUCAAUCUG
Long non-coding RNA from Scophthalmus maximus (turbot), 2209 nucleotides. RefSeq lists it as uncharacterized. The record is from RefSeq and is a predicted model, not a curated record. NCBI's taxonomy places the organism in Eukaryota, Metazoa, Chordata, Actinopteri, Pleuronectiformes, Scophthalmidae. The transcript is spliced from 2 exons.